This 464-nucleotide ribosomal RNA is filed under the name Vreelandella stevensii. Its description in RNAcentral is "partial 16S ribosomal RNA". It matches the Rfam family "Bacterial small subunit ribosomal RNA", at positions 338 to 795 of the family's 1533-position model. Lineage: Bacteria; Pseudomonadati; Pseudomonadota; Gammaproteobacteria; Oceanospirillales; Halomonadaceae. The record is from RNAcentral.
CCUACGGGGGCUGCAGUGGGGAAUAUUGGACAAUGGGCGAAAGCCUGAUCCAGCCAUGCCGCGUGUGUGAAGAAGGCCUUCGGGUUGUAAAGCACUUUCAGUGGGGAAGAAAGCCUUGGGGCUAAUACCCUCGAGGAAGGACAUCACCCACAGAAGAAGCACCGGCUAACUCCGUGCCAGCAGCCGCGGUAAUACGGAGGGUGCGAGCGUUAAUCGGAAUUACUGGGCGUAAAGCGCGCGUAGGCGGUCUGAUAAGCCGGUUGUGAAAGCCCCGGGCUCAACCUGGGAACGGCAUCCGGAACUGUCAGGCUAGAGUGUAGGAGAGGAAGGUAGAAUUCCCGGUGUAGCAGUGAAAUGCGUAGAGAUCGGGAGGAAUACCAGUGGCGAAGGCGGCCUUCUGGACUGACACUGACGCUGAGGUGCGAAAGCGUGGGUAGCAAACAGGAUUAGAUACCCCAGUAGUC